This 470-nucleotide ribosomal RNA is filed under the name Shigella dysenteriae. RNAcentral describes it as "bacterial SSU rRNA". It matches the Rfam family "Bacterial small subunit ribosomal RNA", at positions 22 to 484 of the family's 1533-position model. The record is from RNAcentral. Lineage: Bacteria; Pseudomonadati; Pseudomonadota; Gammaproteobacteria; Enterobacterales; Enterobacteriaceae.
GCUCAGAUUGAACGCUGGCGGCAGGCCUAACACAUGCAAGUCGAACGGUAACAGAAAGCAGCUUGCUGCUUUGCUGACGAGUGGCGGACGGGUGAGUAAUGUCUGGGAAACUGCCCGAUGGAGGGGGAUAACUACUGGAAACGGUAGCUAAUACCGCAUAACGUCGCAAGACCAAAGAGGGGGACCUUAGGGCCUCUUGCCAUCGGAUGUGCCCAGAUGGGAUUAGCUAGUAGGUGGGGUAAAGGCUCACCUAGGCGACGAUCCCUAGCUGGUUUGAGAGGAUGACCAGCCACACUGGAACUGAGACACGGUCCAGACUCCUACGGGAGGCAGCAGUGGGGAAUAUUGCACAAUGGGCGCAAGCCUGAUGCAGCCAUGCCGCGUGUAUGAAGAAGGCCUUCGGGUUGUAAAGUACUUUCAGCGGGGAGGAAGGGAGUAAAGUUAAUACCUUGCUCAUGACGUACCCGCAG